UAGGCUUUAGCUUAAUUAAAGCGUCUGGGUUGCAUUCAGUAGAUGUAUAUUAAAGUUAUACAAGUCUUA
Molecule: transfer RNA, 69 nt
Filed under: Pedioplanis laticeps
Lineage: Eukaryota; Metazoa; Chordata; Lepidosauria; Squamata; Lacertidae
Description: tRNA-Ala
Rfam family: tRNA
About the family: Transfer RNA (tRNA) molecules are approximately 80 nucleotides in length.
Source: RNAcentral